This 74-nucleotide transfer RNA is filed under the name Saprospiraceae bacterium. Its description in RNAcentral is "tRNA-Met". It matches the Rfam family "tRNA". From Rfam's summary of the family: Transfer RNA (tRNA) molecules are approximately 80 nucleotides in length. Their secondary structure includes four short double-helical elements and three loops (D, anti-codon, and T loops). The record is from RNAcentral. Lineage: Bacteria; Pseudomonadati; Bacteroidota; Saprospiria; Saprospirales; Saprospiraceae.
GGCGUGGUAGCUCAGCUGGUCAGAGCGCAGGAUUCAUAAUCCUGAGGUCGAGAGUUCAAGCCUCUCCCACGCUA